GAUGAACGCUGGCGGCGUGCCUAAUACAUGCAAGUCGAGCGAACAGAUGAGGAGCUUGCUCCUCUGACGUUAGCGGCGGACGGGUGAGUAACACGUGGAUAACCUACCUAUAAGACUGGGAUAACUUCGGGAAACCGGAGCUAAUACCGGAUAAUAUAUUGAACCGCAUGGUUCAAUAGUGAAAGACGGUUUUGCUGUCACUUAUAGAUGGAUCCGCGCCGCAUUAGCUAGUUGGUAAGGUAACGGCUUACCAAGGCAACGAUGCGUAGCCGACCUGAGAGGGUGGUAGGCCACACGGGACGUGAGACCCGGCCAAGACUCCGACGGGGGGCAGCAGUAGGGAAUCUUCCGCAAGGGGCGAAACCCUGACGGACCAACGCCGCGUGAGUGAGAAAGGUCUUCGGUUCGAAAAACUCUUUUAUUAGGGAAAAACAAAUGUGAAAGUAACUAUGCCCGUCUUGACGGUCCUUAAUAAAAAACCCCCGGCAAACUCCGUC
RNAcentral lists this ribosomal RNA (497 nucleotides) under uncultured bacterium. Its description in RNAcentral is "partial 16S ribosomal RNA". It matches the Rfam family "Bacterial small subunit ribosomal RNA", at positions 28 to 507 of the family's 1533-position model. The record is from RNAcentral.